RNAcentral lists this unclassified non-coding RNA (484 nucleotides) under uncultured Glomus. RNAcentral describes it as "SSU rRNA". It matches the Rfam family "Eukaryotic small subunit ribosomal RNA", at positions 569 to 1051 of the family's 1831-position model. The record is from RNAcentral. Lineage: Eukaryota; Fungi; Glomeromycota; Glomeromycetes; Glomerales; Glomeraceae.
AGCAGCCGCGGUAAUUCCAGCUCCAAUAGCGUAUAUUAAAGUUGUUGCAGUUAAAAAGCUCGUAGUUGAAUUUCGGGAUUGACACAUCGGUCGUGCCUUAAGGGGUAUGAACUGGUGUAGUCAAUUUCUCACCUUCUGGAGAACCGCGAUGCCCUUAAUUGGGUGUCGCGGGGAACCAGGACCUUUACUUUGAAAAAAUUAGAGUGUUUAAAGCAGGCAUUUUGCUUGAAUACAUUAGCAUGGAAUAAUAAAAUAGGACGGCAUGAUUCUAUUUUGUUGGUUUCUAGGAUCACCGUAAUGAUUAAUAGGGAUAGUUGGGGGCAUUAGUAUUCAAUUGUCAGAGGUGAAAUUCUUGGAUUUAUUGAAGACUAACUACUGCGAAAGCAUUUGCCAAGGAUGUUUUCAUUAAUCAAGAACGAAAGUUAGGGGAUCGAAGACGAUCAGAUACCGUCGUAGUCUUAACCAUAAACUAUGCCGACUAGGA